UUUGUUGCAUCUUCCUCUCUUGGUAUGUUUGACUUCUAAACAGCUCAGACUUUGUGGAAUUUUGGGUUUUGAUCGCUUGAAAUGCUUUGUUACUUCUUUUUCUGUCUCUGUUUUAAUUGAGAAUAGUGUAUAAAAGCGUGUGACUUGGUGAAUUUGUCUCUUGAAUUUUGAUUUGUAAUUUGGAGUAGGAAUUCUAUGGAACAGAGAAAGAGCUUAGAACUUUUUGAUGUCUUUUUUGGCCUCUGAAUUGCUACAUUAUUAUAUUCUAGCUCAAGUGGAAGAUAUCCACAAAAUAGGCUGAUUUUCU
This 307-nucleotide unclassified non-coding RNA is filed under the name Hevea brasiliensis (rubber tree). The record is from RNAcentral. Lineage: Eukaryota; Viridiplantae; Streptophyta; Magnoliopsida; Malpighiales; Euphorbiaceae.